CAAAUCUCAUAUUAGUGGUAUUAGUUUCAUUCUUAUGUAUGUCUCUUGUUAUGUUAGUUUUGUUCUACAGAUUAGAGAUAUUCAUUCAUACAUUUUAGCUACUGUAAACCUGUGUUAGAUUACAUAGGUUUAAAAUAACUAAAAUCUAGUAAUGAAUGUCUCUGAUCUGUUUAACAAACUAACAGCAUAAGAGAUAUGCAUAAGAAUUAAACUAAUAUCAUUAACAUGAGAUCAUUUUAUCCCAUAUAUCUUAAUUUUUGAAUCAUUCUUCUACACGGACCCCCAGGUACUGGUAAAACAUCAUUGUGUAAAGCAUUGGCUCAGAAGCUGUCAAUUCGGUUCAGCUCCAGGUUUGGAUGUGUUAUGCAGCUUGAGAUGUUUUAUCACUCUGAGAUAUCCACAGUCCCAGUUGAUUGAAGUUAAUGCUCAUUCUUUGUUCAGCAAAUGGUUUUCAGAAAGUGGCAAAUUGGUAUGUGCUGCUCAUCAAGCCUGAUGUUAGUCCAUUUACACAUUUUCGCUCCCAGCUAUGAACUAACGAACAUAAGGACUCAUUUUAACCUUUUAAAUGAUUAAUAUGAUUAAUUUUAACUUUCCAA
This is a long non-coding RNA of Spinacia oleracea (spinach), 596 nucleotides long. RefSeq lists it as uncharacterized. Lineage: Eukaryota; Viridiplantae; Streptophyta; Magnoliopsida; Caryophyllales; Amaranthaceae. The record is from RefSeq and is a predicted model, not a curated record. The transcript is spliced from 2 exons.